UACGGGGGGAGCAAGCGUUGUUCGGAUUUACUGGGCGUAAAGGGCGCGUAGGCGGCCUCCGCAAGUCAAUUGUGAAAUCUCCGGGCUUAACUCGGAAAGGUCAACUGAUACUGCGGGGCUAGAGUGCGGAAGGGGCAACUGGAAUUCUUGGUGUAGCGGUGAAAUGCGUAGAUAUCAAGAGGAACACCUGCGGCGAAGGCGGGUUGCUGGGCCGACACUGACGCUGAGGCGCGAAAGCGUGGGGAGCAAACAGG
This 254-nucleotide ribosomal RNA is filed under the name uncultured bacterium. RNAcentral describes it as "partial 16S ribosomal RNA". It matches the Rfam family "Bacterial small subunit ribosomal RNA", at positions 524 to 776 of the family's 1533-position model. The record is from RNAcentral.